RNAcentral lists this ribosomal RNA (459 nucleotides) under uncultured bacterium. Its description in RNAcentral is "partial 16S ribosomal RNA". It matches the Rfam family "Bacterial small subunit ribosomal RNA", at positions 338 to 795 of the family's 1533-position model. The record is from RNAcentral.
CCUACGGGUGGCAGCAGUGAGGAAUAUUGGUCAAUGGCCGAGAGGCUGAACCAGCCAAGUCGCGUGAGGGAAGACGGCCCUCCGGGUUGUAAACCUCUUUUGUCGGGGAGCAAAGAGAGUCGCGUGUGACUCAUAGAGACUACCCGAAGAAAAAGCAGCGGUUAACUCGGAGCCAGCGGCGGCGGGAAUAGGCGGGAGCCGAGCGUUAUCGGGGUUUAUUGGGGGGAAAGGGUGCGCAUACGGCGGUGCAUGUCAGCGGUAAAAUUGAGGGGCUCACCCCCGUACUGCAGUUGAAACUGCAUGCCUUGAGUGCGCGAGAGGAAUGCGGAAUGCGUGGUGUAGCGGUGAAAUGCGUAGAUAUCACGAAGAACUCCGAUGGCGAAGGCAGCAUUCCGGCGCGCAACUGACGCUGAUGCACGAAAGCGUGGGUAUCGAACAGGAUUAGAUACCCGGGUAGUC